Molecule: ribosomal RNA, 506 nt
Filed under: uncultured Lysobacteraceae bacterium
Lineage: Bacteria; Pseudomonadati; Pseudomonadota; Gammaproteobacteria; Lysobacterales; Lysobacteraceae
Description: bacterial SSU rRNA
Rfam family: Bacterial small subunit ribosomal RNA
Source: RNAcentral
UUUGAUCCUGGCUCAGAGUGAACGCUGGCGGCAGGCCUAACACAUGCAAGUCGAACGGCAGCACAGCAGUAGCAAUACUGUGGGUGGCGAGUGGCGGACGGGUGAGGAAUACAUCGGAAUCUACCUUGUCGUGGGGGAUAACGUAGGGAAACUUACGCUAAUACCGCAUACGAACUAUGGUUGAAAGCGGCGGACCGCAAGGCGUCGCGCGAUUGGAUGAGCCGAUGUCCGAUUAGCUAGUUGGCGGGGUAAAGGCCCACCAAGGCGACGAUCGGUAGCUGGUCUGAGAGGAUGAUCAGCCACACUGGAACUGAGACACGGUCCAGACUCCUACGGGAGGCAGCAGUGGGGAAUAUUGGACAAUGGGCGCAAGCCUGAUCCAGCCAUGCCGCGUGUGUGAAGAAGGCCUUCGGGUUGUAAAGCACUUUUGUUGGGGAAGAAAAGCUACCGGUUAAUACCCGGGAGUUCUGACGGUACCCAAAGAAUAAGCACCGGCUAACUUCGUG